CUUUCAAUCCGAAAUAGCUAACCUUGAACAACUUUUAAAAAAAUCUAAUCAAGCCCCACCAAAGUUUUUUGAUACUUAGGAAUUACUUGUCAAUUCCCAAGCUAUUGUAUUUUCUGUCAUCUUUCCAAUACUUUGACAACCUAAUCUUCAGGAAAGUUGAAUGCUUGGUCAAUAUUAAACUCUCCCCAGAGUUCCACGACCAGGCUACUUUGCCCAAAAGGUUUGGGGGUCUAGGUCUGCGCAAGUGCUUCGAAGCAGUGGAUU
Octopus sinensis (East Asian common octopus) is the source of this 264-nucleotide long non-coding RNA. RefSeq lists it as uncharacterized. The transcript has 3 exons. The record is from RefSeq and is a predicted model, not a curated record. NCBI's taxonomy places the organism in Eukaryota, Metazoa, Mollusca, Cephalopoda, Octopoda, Octopodidae.